RNAcentral lists this long non-coding RNA (202 nucleotides) under Nicotiana benthamiana. Its description in RNAcentral is "long non-coding RNA (NBEN_LNC035864)". Lineage: Eukaryota; Viridiplantae; Streptophyta; Magnoliopsida; Solanales; Solanaceae. The record is from RNAcentral.
UUGCCUAUGCUCAUUGGGAAGUAAAAGCAGAAGAUCUCGCUUGAUGAAACUCCUUUCGAGAAUCAAUUUUUGUUUAGGCCACAAUAACCUAAACUGGUGGAAUGCUAACUGGCUAAUGAACCUAUCCUCCCAAGCUGCGGAAUCUCUAGUCUGGUCAACAUCCCCAACCUGAGGUACACCACUCUCGACACCUCCUCAUCAC